Molecule: ribosomal RNA, 498 nt
Filed under: uncultured bacterium
Lineage: Bacteria
Description: bacterial SSU rRNA
Rfam family: Bacterial small subunit ribosomal RNA
Source: RNAcentral
GACGAACGCUGGCGGCGUGCUUAACACAUGCAAGUCGAACGGGAGGAAAAGAGAAGCUUGCUUCUUUUGAAUCUAGUGGCAAACGGGUGAGUAACACGUAAACAACCUGCCUUCAGGAUGGGGACAACAGACGGAAACGACUGCUAAUACCGAAUGUGUUCCGGAGACCGCAUGAUCUCCGGAAGAAAGGAUGGCCUCUAUUUAUAAGCUAUCGCCUGAAGAGGGGUUUGCGUCUGAUUAGGCAGUUGGUGAGGUAACGGCCCACCAAACCUACGAUCAGUAGCCGGUCUGAGAGGGAUGAACGGCCACACUGGAACUGAGACACGGUCCAGACUCCUACGGGAGGCAGCAGUGGGGAAUCUUCCGCAAUGGACGAAAGUCUGACGGAGCAACGCCGCGUGAGUGAUGACGGCCUGGUGUAAGCUCUGUGAUCGGGGACGGAAUGGCUGGUAUGCUAAUACCAUAUCAGAGUGACGGUACCCGAAUAGCAAGCCACGG